This 497-nucleotide ribosomal RNA is filed under the name uncultured bacterium. Its description in RNAcentral is "partial 16S ribosomal RNA". It matches the Rfam family "Bacterial small subunit ribosomal RNA", at positions 28 to 507 of the family's 1533-position model. The record is from RNAcentral.
GACGAACGCUGGCGGCGUGCCUAAUACAUGCAAGUAGAACGCUGAAGCGAGGAGCUUGCUCUUCUUGGAUGAGUUGCGAACGGGUGAGUAACGCGUAGGUAACCUGCCUUGUAGCGGGGGAUAACUAUUGGAAACGAUAGCUAAUACCGCAUAACAAUGGAUGACACAUGUCAUUUAUUUGAAAGGGGCAAUUGCUCCACUACAAGAUGGACCUGCGUUGUAUUAGCUAGUAGGUGAGGUAAUGGCUCACCUAGGCGACGAUACAUAGCCGACCUGAGAGGGUGAUCGGCCACACUGGGACCGAGACACGGCCCAGACUCCUACGGGAGGCAGCAGUAGGGAAUCUUCGGCAAUGGGGGCAACCCUGACCGAGCAACGCCGCGUGAGUGAAGAAGGGUUUCGGAUCGUAAAGCUCUGUUGUAAGUCAAGAACGGGUGUGAGAGUGGAAAGUUCACACUGUGACGGUAGCUUACCAGAAAGAGACGGCUAACUACGUG